CAAUUGAGUGGAGUGAUGGAACUCACCUAGUUAGGAGUCCCAUAGCUGUUAAGUGGCAUCAAGGAUCAUCCAAAUCUUCCAUUUGAAUUGCAGAGUGGGGAUUGCAUGAUUGUCUCAAAACAGAGAGGAAUGAGCAUUUGGAUAUAAGAAUUUGCUAUGUCUUCAAUUUGUGUGGUUCUAUUCGUGUAUGCAAUCUGUCAGGCUAUUGUACAAAAUUAAAU
This 221-nucleotide unclassified non-coding RNA is filed under the name Hevea brasiliensis (rubber tree). The record is from RNAcentral. Lineage: Eukaryota; Viridiplantae; Streptophyta; Magnoliopsida; Malpighiales; Euphorbiaceae.